RNAcentral lists this ribosomal RNA (419 nucleotides) under uncultured bacterium. RNAcentral describes it as "bacterial SSU rRNA". It matches the Rfam family "Bacterial small subunit ribosomal RNA", at positions 362 to 773 of the family's 1533-position model. The record is from RNAcentral.
UUUUGGACAAUGGGGGCAACCCUGAUCCAGCCAUUCCGCGUGAGUGAAGAAGGCCUUCGGGUUGUAAAGCUCUUUUGUCCGGAACGAAACGGCUACGUCUAAUACACGUGGCUACUGACGGUACCGGAAGAAUAAGCACCGGCUAACUCUGUGCCAGCAGCCGCGGUAAUACAGAGGGUGCAAGCGUUGUUCGGAAUUACUGGGCGUAAAGCGCGUGUAGGCUGCAACGUAAGUCGGAUGUGAAAGCCCUUGGCUUAACCAAGGAAGUGCAUCCGAUACUGCGUCGCUUGAGUGUCGGAGGGGAUGGCGGAAUUCCCGGUGUAGAGGUGAAAUUCGUAGAUAUCGGGAGGAACACCUGUGGCGAAGGCGGCCAUCUGGACGAUAACUGACGCUGAGACGCGAAAGCGUGGGUAGCAAAC